This 253-nucleotide ribosomal RNA is filed under the name uncultured bacterium. RNAcentral's name for it is "partial 16S ribosomal RNA". It matches the Rfam family "Bacterial small subunit ribosomal RNA", at positions 524 to 776 of the family's 1533-position model. The record is from RNAcentral.
UACGUAGGUGGCAAGCGUUGUCCGGAUUUACUGGGCGUAAAGGAUGCGUAGGCGGACAUUUAAGUCAGAUGUGAAAUACCCGAGCUUAACUUGGGUGCUGCAUUUGAAACUGGGUGUCUAGAGUGCAGGAGAGGUAAGUGGAAUUCCUAGUGUAGCGGUGAAAUGCGUAGAGAUUAGGAAGAACACCAGUGGCGAAGGCGACUUACUGGACUGUAACUGACGCUGAGGCAUGAAAGCGUAGGGAGCAAACAGG